AUUCUGUCAGAGUCCGGGGUUCCACAGUUGAGCAAAGGCUGAGAACCACUGCUCCAGAGAGCAGCUGCAGGCUGACUGCCUGGAAAUGGGCAAAGAGCCACUGAAAGUCAGCACCAUUGAGUGCCCUGUCUUCAGCCAAUGGCCUGGAGCACAAGUGCCCACGAGGUUCACUACAGCUGCACUUUAAGGACCUGAGAUCAUUCUCCCGUUUCUUCUGAGAAGUCUUGUGACAAACCACCCAAGAGACUUAAGAGAUGAAUCCAACCGCGGGAAGCAAUCAACAUUUUUGACCUUUUCUAGGUAUCAGGCCUCGUGCUAAAUGCUUUAUGAGGGUUAUUCCUCUUUCCUCCCUCAGAAACUGGAGGAAGAAGUUUGGGGAAAGAAGCGGAAGAAAUGUGGACGUUAAGUCUAAGAAGUCCUCAACGGAGCACAGAUGAGCCAGAACGAACAUGGUUUCAAAUUCCUCAAUUCGAAGCUGCUAGAUUGGAAAGGUCAAAUUGGAAGCUACGUCUUUAAACGUUUCAACUUGUCUUUAGUAGGGUCAUCAACAACAGAUGCCAUGGAGCAAUGGUGUGCACAUUCUAGAAUUGAGGCUCUCACAUUUUCAUCCGUAAAUAUCACCUGGAAGUGACAGAACUAGAGACUUUCAGUCUCCACCUGCAGAGAUACUAAUUCAGGACAUUUAUUAUCAGGUGAGAAUUGCUGGCAGACUGUACUGAUAGGAAGUUCAAGUGACCACCAUUAAACCUGCAAGCUGGCUCUGUUUUAAGUUCAUUUGCAUCCAAGAAAGGCAUGGCUGCUAAUUACUUCAGAAACCGGAUUGAUCCACUUUUGUUCAUUUUACUGAGAAGCAUUGAGCAAGUGUGGCUGGAAUUCAGGAUGGCCCGGUCCUAGAAGUCCACCUGCACACGAGCUCACCCCGGUGCAAGCCGGGCUCCAACCUAAUCCAUAGAGGCUCUACGUUGCUCUCAGUGAGCCACAUUACCGGGAUGGCAUGCAAGAAUCAAGGGGCCAGAGUCAAGAGCUGCGUUCCAUUGUAAUUCUCCAGCGGUCAUGGAUAGCUGGAGCCUUUGAAAUGGACACAGAUGAUUUAUGGGCAGAAAGCAUUGAGAGGAUAAAGUCUCAGGAAUGAAAAUCCAAGAGGAGAAAUAAAUGGGGAAUGCAUCCCAGGGAGAGGAAUAAUAUUUACUAGAGUAUGUUUGUUUCAAGGCGGAUUCCUAAGUUUUACUGCUUAGAGUGGUAAUCUUUGUGAGAAAUUUCAGGCCAGAAGAGAGGACUUGAGAAGCCAGUCUGGGAACUCCUUUAGGUCAGGGAUCAUGGUCUUAGCUCCGAGUCGCAAUGCUCUGUGCAGUGACUGGUACAUGACAGGUGCCAAAUUCAUGUACGCUGAGUUGAACUAUAGACCUUUCUACAGCGUCUCUGCUUCCAAGUAUAGGCUUCAGCUGGGCAGAGGGGCUGUGGGUCCUACCUGGGUGUCAUUCUUCAGUGCACCGAGGAUUCCUGACCGCAGCGUCUGGCUAAGGGGCUGAGACAGGAGCAGGACGGUGAAGAUGGCUGCGAAAGCAGGGGAUUUCUGCUCCAAGCGCUCCCUGUCCUCCAUCGAAUGAUGCAGGGUUCGCACGGAUCCUUUCUACUCUGCUCUCAAGGGAUGCGAAAGAUUCGGAUGUCAGCUUUCCUCCCGAAGGCUUUCAGAAUCAGACUGAUUGCUCUGUCUCGGCCAGUACCUUCCAGAUUCUCUCAGAGGGACCUCCUGAUGGUGUUCAGAUGGAAGGUGUCAGUGUUUCACAGCAAACGCAAUAUAUACUGUGCUCCCAUGGAACCAAGCCAUGUGCAGUUCUGAACCCCAUUACGUUCUUUGGGCCUCGAGGCAUGAUGUGUCAUUGUCUAGAAUACGCCUCCAGCCUCUUGCCAUGCCCUUUCUCCAUGUCAGCCUUGUCAACAUCUACUCAGUGUUCACGAUCCAGCUCAAGCAUCCCGGCUUCUGAGAACUUCUCCUCUCUCGCUUUCCCAUCCAUGCACCCGACCCAGUUAUUCACACCCUUUUCUGGGACAGCAGUUUCCACCUGACUCUACUCUGGGAUCUGUCAUAGGGCGCUGCAAUUUUCGCCGUCUACCCUUUUGUUCUUCACCCGUGUCUCGUUCAGGUUUAGGUUCCCUGCACCUUACGCUCAACUUCCUGUUAACUCCGUGGCUUUGGAGACAUUAGAUAACCUCCCCCCCACCCCCCGCCAGCUUCAGGGGCCCACUUCACAGAUUGUUAUGAGGGGUUAACACGAUACCUACAGCACAAUGCCUGGCACAGUGUAACUAUCUAAUAAACGGCGCUGUCUGUUGA
Long non-coding RNA from Felis catus (domestic cat), 2335 nucleotides. RefSeq lists it as uncharacterized. NCBI's taxonomy places the organism in Eukaryota, Metazoa, Chordata, Mammalia, Carnivora, Felidae. The record is from RefSeq and is a predicted model, not a curated record. The transcript has 3 exons.